GUUAGAUUUUAUAUAUAUACAGGAAGUAUACUGCUUAGGAUCAAAUCACACAAUGCCACUGAAUGUUAGAUCUCAUCAACUAAUUAGACUUACGCCUGGAUAAGAUUUGGAUGGGGGACAACCUGUGUAACAGAUGCCUGAGGCUGCAUAUUUAUAAUGUGGGCUGCAGAGGGCAGAAUGUCACACGCCUUUAUUAUGCUGUACAUUCAUGCUCCCUCAUCAUACGUUCACUAAACCUCACUGAAGAGCAUUAUGAAGGAUGGUAAAAUAACCCCCCCAAUGCAGACACCAUCGGGAGGCUUUAAUUAAGCAGUGUAUUGACAAAGAGCUUGACGUUAUUUAGUAUCACUUUCCAGUAACUUAUUUGUAAUGCAGAUUGAAAGUAUUGUCUGAAGGUUGCUUAUAACAUUUUACAAGGUUCAACUGGAAAUGCAUGAGUAAUCUGCAUUCUGUCAACAUCCAUCCCUGGAUUUUUCAUUCAAAGUGACACGGAAACCCCCGGGAGAGGAAAAGCCAACAAAGCCAGCUCCUGAAGAGAGUGGCGCUCCUCCUCAAGAACCAACUGCACCGAAGGAUAAUACACCCCCACGUCCAACCUCCGGCAACAAGGAGCCAGAACCUUCACCCUCAGGAGGGCCAGGUGUGUUUCGUUUGCAAGUUAUUUUAAUGUACAUAUGUUUAUACCGGCCAUAUAGUUCUUACGAUCAAAUAACGCAGAAUGCGCAUACAUUUCUCAGAUCUCAGAAAUGAAAUAGGGUUGUUCUAGAAGUCAGGAAUGGUUGCCGACAUCCGUAAUAUGCGUUAAAGAUUGCAUGUUAUAGGCUGCAGAGGGCAGGAUACCACAUUCAUUUAUUUUGCUGUACUUACAUGUCCCCAAGUCAAUGCAAUGUACAUUCUGACAACACCCAAUCCCUGGCUUUUCUUUCAAAGAAACACCGAAACCCCCGGUAGAGGAAAAGCCAACAAAGACAUCUCCUGAAGAGAGUGGCGCUCCGCCUCAAGAACCAACUGCACCGAAGGACAAGACACCCCCACCUCCAACCUCCGGCAUCAAGGAGCCAGAACCGUCACCCUCAGGAGGGCCAGAGGAAAAGCCAAGAAAGCCAUCUCCUGAAGAGAGUGGCGCUCCACCUCAAGAACCAACUGAACCGAAGGACAGGACACCCGCACCUCCAACCUCCGGCAUCAAGGAGCCAGAACCCUCACUCUCAGGAGGGCCAGGUGUGUUCAUUUUGUUAUAUUAUAUAUACAGGAAGUAUACUGCUUAGGAUCAAAGCAAAUAAUGUGACUUAAUUUGUUAGAUCUCAACUAAUUAGACUUGCGCCUGGAUGAGAUUUGGAUGGGGGACAAUCUGUGUAACAGAUGCCAUCAGCUGCAUCUUUAUAAUGUGGACUACAGAGGGCAGAAUGCCACACCUCUUUAUUGUGCUGUACGUUCAUGCUCCCUCAUCACACGUUCACUAAACCGCACUGAAGCGCAUGAUGAACGAUGGUCAAAUAACCCCCCCAAAGCAGACACCAUGGGGAGGCUUUAAUUAAGCAGUGUCUUGACAAAGAGCUUGACGUUAUUUAGUAUCACUUUCCAGUAACUUAUAUGUAAUGCAGAUUGAAAUUAUUGUCAGAAGGUUCCUUAUAACAUUUUACAAGGUUCAACUGGAAAUGCAUGAGUAAUCUGCAUUCUGUCAACAUCCAUCCCUGGAUUUUUAAUUCAAAGUGACACGGAAACCUCCGGAAGAGGAAAAGCCAGCAAAGCCAGCUCCUGAAGAGAGUGGCGCUCCGCCUCAAGAACCAACUGCACCGAAGGACAAGACACCCCCACCUCCAACCUCCGGCAACAAGGAGCCAGAACCUUCACCCUCAGGAGGGCCAGAAACACCGAAAUCCCCGGUAGAGGAAAAGCCAACAAAGCCAGCUCCAGCAGAGAGUGGCGCUCCGCCUCAAGAGCCAACUGCACCAAAGGACAAGACACCCCCACCUCCAACCUCCGGCAGCAAGGAGCCAGAACCAUCACCCUCAGGAGGGCCAGGUGUGUUAAUUUUGUAGGAUUAUAUAUACAGGAAGUAUACUGCUUAGGAUCAAAUCACACAAUGUGACUUAAUUUGUUAGAUCUCAACUAUUUAGUAUUGCGCCUGGAUGAGAUUUGGAUGGGGGACAACCUGGGUAACAGAUGCCAUCAGCUGCAUAUUUAUUACGUGGACUACAGAGGGUAGAAUGCCACACCUCUUUAUUGUGCUGUACGUCCAUGCUCUCUCAUCCCACGUUCACUAAACCGCCAUGAAAAGCAUGAUUAAGGAUGGUCACACAACCCCCCCAAUCCAGACACCGUUGGGGGGCUUUAAUUUAGCAGUGUAUUUGGCAAAGAGCUGUACAUUAUUUAGUAUCACUUUACAGUAACUUAUUCGAAAUUCAGAAUAAUGUAUUGUCUGAAGGUUGCUUACAACAUUUUACAAGGUUAAACUCAGAAUGCUUGAGAAAUCUGCAUUCCCUUAACAUCCAUCCGUGGAUUUUUCAU
Non-coding RNA from Petromyzon marinus (sea lamprey), 2511 nucleotides. The record is from RefSeq and is a predicted model, not a curated record. Lineage: Eukaryota; Metazoa; Chordata; Hyperoartia; Petromyzontiformes; Petromyzontidae.